This 254-nucleotide ribosomal RNA is filed under the name uncultured bacterium. RNAcentral's name for it is "partial 16S ribosomal RNA". It matches the Rfam family "Bacterial small subunit ribosomal RNA", at positions 524 to 776 of the family's 1533-position model. The record is from RNAcentral.
UACGGGGGGAGCAAGCGUUGUUCGGAUUUACUGGGCGGAAAGGGCGCGUAGGCGGCCUCUGCAAGUCGACUGUGAAAUCUCCGGGCUUAACCCGGAAAGGUCAGCCGAUACUGCAGGGCUAGAGUGCAGAAGGGGCAACUGGAAUUCUCGGUGUAGCGGUGAAAUGCGUAGAUAUCGAGAGGAACACCUGCGGCGAAGGCGGGUUGCUGGGCUGACACUGACGCUGAAGCGCGAAAGCUAGGGGAGCGAACGGG